GGGCCCGCACAAGCGGUGGAGCAUGUGGUUUAAUUCGACGCAACGCGAAGAACCUUACCUACUCUUGACAUCCAGAGAAUUCGCUAGAGAUAGCUUAGUGCCUUCGGGAGCUCUGAGACAGGUGCUGCAUGGCUGUCGUCAGCUCGUGUUGUGAAAUGUUGGGUUAAGUCCCGUAACGAGCGCAACCCUUAUCCUUAUUUGCCAGCGAGUCAUGUCGGGGACUAUAAGGAGACUGCCGGUGACAAACCGGAGGAAGGCGGGGACGACGUCAAGUCAUCAUGGCCCUUACGAGUAGGGCUACACACGUGCUACAAUGGUGCAUACAGACGGUUGCGAACCCGCGAGGGGGAGCCAAUCCGAGAAAGUGCAUCGUAGUCCGGAUCGGAGUCUGCAACUCGACUCCGUG
Molecule: ribosomal RNA, 406 nt
Filed under: uncultured bacterium
Lineage: Bacteria
Description: bacterial SSU rRNA
Rfam family: Bacterial small subunit ribosomal RNA
Source: RNAcentral